This 56-nucleotide transfer RNA is filed under the name Fukomys damarensis (Damara mole-rat). It matches the Rfam family "tRNA". From Rfam's summary of the family: Transfer RNA (tRNA) molecules are approximately 80 nucleotides in length. Their secondary structure includes four short double-helical elements and three loops (D, anti-codon, and T loops). Further hydrogen bonds mediate the characteristic L-shaped molecular structure. tRNAs have two regions of fundamental functional importance: the anti-codon, which is responsible for specific mRNA codon recognition, and the 3' end, to which the tRNAs corresponding amino acid is attached (by aminoacyl-tRNA synthetases). tRNAs cope with the degeneracy of the genetic code in two manners: having more than one tRNA (with a specific anti-codon) for a particular amino acid; and 'wobble' base-pairing, i.e. permitting non-standard base-pairing at the 3rd anti-codon position. The record is from Rfam by way of RNAcentral. Lineage: Eukaryota; Metazoa; Chordata; Mammalia; Rodentia; Bathyergidae.
GGGGAUUUAGCUCAGUGGUUGGGGCACCUGUCUUGCAAGCAUGAGUUCAAUCCCCA